GUCCCCGACUCGACGCAAGUGAUCCGAUGGUCGCUCAACUCCACCUUCAGGCUGUCAGGGUCCAAAACAUCUAGGCUCUAGUCCCCGUCGUCCACGACUCCUCGUCCGCCUCCUACGGCCGCUGGCGGGACCAAGUCCUCGCUAGCCGUCAGACGAAUAUAUGCCCACAAGUAUACCCGUUGCUACGUCACGGGUAUAGAAUUUGCCCAUACCCGUUACCCACGAGCGCCAUAUACCCGCGGGCAUACCCGUUUACCCGCCUUUAUGUGGGCACAAGAUACCCGUGGGUAUACCCGCCCAUAUACCCACGCAAAACAUGUAUCCAAUAUAACCACAAUAACAGUAACAAAACAAUAGCACACAAUUCAACAGUCCAACUUAAAUUUAAAUGGAAUAGUUCAAUACAAUAGUUCAAUCCAGACUCCAUAGUUUAACAACCUGCAAAUAAUCAUGGCAAAAAAAUUUAGAUAAGAGAAGUAUAACCAAACAAACAUGAAAAAAAAUUCCAGCCAGCAUAUACACCAACCUCGGCCGGCGGCGGCUGCGGCGUCGGGN
This 555-nucleotide long non-coding RNA is filed under the name Oryza brachyantha (malo sina). Its description in RNAcentral is "long non-coding RNA (OBRA_LNC002238)". Lineage: Eukaryota; Viridiplantae; Streptophyta; Magnoliopsida; Poales; Poaceae. The record is from RNAcentral.